AAAAGCACAAAAAGAUGGAAUGUGCAUUUGGGCGCGGAUAGGCUUGCACAGAUAGAGUGAGGUGUUGCACGUGCUUGCGGUGUGCGGGACUCCAUUUUCAACACAGCAGCCCGCGGCUGGAAGUAAAACCACGUGAACAUUUGCCUUGUUCUUGGCAGCCAUCUUGAGCAAAUGUCACCUUCAUUCAAGUUGCUGUUGACAAGAACUUGCCGAAUUUAUUCUCCCAGCAACGUUUCUCCAUCUUACGUUCAAACUACAGUCGACAAGUGUUACGUGGCUGUUUAUGUAAGUACUGCUAUACGAGAAACUUGAUUUUGGACAGCAGCAAACAUCUGAGUGAAGUGCAAUACAAAGGGGCCUGAGAUGUCACCAAUAACAUCCAAGAUGGCACCACUGAUGUCCAAGAGAUCGGCUGCCUAGAGAUUGACUGGAUGGAUACAUUUUGGCUAAGGGCAAAUCCAUGGCAACGGCUUUGGGCAUUUCUCAGUGCAUUUUCAACAAUCAGUUAAUGUCUGAAGUAUUGGUAUUUAAGUCAAACAGUCUAAAGGGAGUUUCUUCAUACUUUUCAUGAUGUACCCCGACUCCCUCGUGUGUGUGUGUGUAUUCAGGAGAUCACAGGAUUUAGCCUUCUCUUGGUAAGUUCCAGCAGGGAAUAAAUUGACCCAGUUGGUACAAAGCUCAGAAAAAUACGAGGGUUUUAAAUUGCAAUCGAUUUAUGUUAAAUGCAUCAGUGUGGGUUUAUACCAUCCACUUCAAUUCAGUCACUGAUGGAAUGUAUUUGUUGCCAUGGAUUUGCUUGUAAUAUGGACUGUUUUACGCUUGGAGUAGGUUUGGAGCCAGGCACAUGUACAUGGACUUUCACGCAAAGAAAGCUGUAAAUUUUCCACCUUUCUGUCAUUGACUAAAAGGCACAGUCAUUUACGUACAUGCAGCCUUCCAUCUCCAGUUACUUGGCAGGAUCAACUUUUUUGGACAAAUACAUGUAUUGGAGUAAAAAAAAAAAAUAACCUGAUAAUCAGGACAAGCACCUCACGUUAAUGCUGUCAUGUGCCUGGUUCAGUUCUUUUUUUAUCUGAAAAAUAGUUUUUGGAUGCUCUGCGAACAGUGUUUUACUGUGUAUAAAUGUAUCUACACCAGCACAUCAAACUACAAGUUCUUAUUUGCUUUUUAGGCUGGAACUAUAGAUUGAAAUGGAAUCGUUGACAUUGUGCAUGAAACACGUAUAUCACUUCUGUUGCAUUUAGGUACCUGCUUGAUUAGGUUAUUGGAAUGUCAUAGCCUUUCUUAAUGGAAAUGUGACAUCAAAAUCAUCUGAAAUUAGGAGUUAUCUUUUGCGGUUAAUAAAACGUCAUUAGCAAAAUGUUUUUCUGUGAAUGUAUAACAGAUGAAUACUUUGAAUCAAAUGUCUUAAAUUGGUUCUUUUUAAGACAGCACUUUGAGAUGAGGCUCUACUUUGUGAAUGAUUUGUUUUUGGUGAUACAUUAAGCUCUUCUUUAUGUCAAAAACCUUAUGCCAGACUUAUCGGCAAAUUUCUAUAAGUUACUGUCUUGUGGGUCUUCAGUAUGGACUUAGUUUCAGCGAGUUUGAAAUGAACAAAAUCCAAUGAUUAGUUGUUUUGUUAAUAAGGUAUGAUGUGCUGGUGUAGAGUUUCUUUGUAUUGAUUGCUGAAUUAAAUUGUUUUCUUGUGUGUGUGCUGUGUGUUCACUUGGUCUGCUGCCUUUUUUACAAGUAUGCAAUGGACUUUAAAAGUGCACGCACAAAAACCAGAAAUAAAACAAGCACUGCAGAUGGUACUGAGAACAAGUUAUAAAUUAGCUUCAAUUGAAAAAAUAUCUUUUUCACAAACCCAAAUUCAGCCCUCUGUUAUCUUUCAGCACUUGUUUUUUUAUAUGAACUUUUGCAAACAUUUACAUUGUAAAAAAGGCAGCAGGCUCAUUGUCUAUUUGCAUAAAGGGUGGGGUAGGGUGAGAAGUUUGUGUCCAGCUGUAAAUGCGCACUGCACCAAGGGUUGUAUGGAAUUGUCAUUUUCGCGAGUGUGCAGACAAGCAUUGUCGGGGAAAAAAGGUCAAAAGUUUUCUUUUCAGUGCUUUUUUUUGGUUGGGGCUUUUUUCUAUUUGUCUUCUCUUUUUGGCUAUCAAACAAGAAGUGUUUUGUACACUCGCAAAAUUGAUAAACCCAAAACUGAAGGUUUUUGUAAUUGAUGCGUGUAGUUUUAAAUGAUCAGCAUGUUGAAAGAGCGCCCUCAAUUUCAUUUCAGUCUUGGCGCAGUGUACAUGUUGGAACUUCCUAUAUAUGGAGA
This 2299-nucleotide long non-coding RNA is filed under the name Acanthaster planci (crown-of-thorns starfish). Its description in RNAcentral is "uncharacterized LOC110975905". Lineage: Eukaryota; Metazoa; Echinodermata; Asteroidea; Valvatida; Acanthasteridae. The record is from RNAcentral.